Molecule: ribosomal RNA, 506 nt
Filed under: uncultured bacterium
Lineage: Bacteria
Description: partial 16S ribosomal RNA
Rfam family: Bacterial small subunit ribosomal RNA
Source: RNAcentral
GAUGAACGCUAGCUACAGGCUUAACACAUGCAAGUCGAGGGGUAACGAGAGGAAAGCUUGCUUUCCUUGUCGACGACCGGCGCACGGGUGAGAAACGCGUAUCCAACCUGCCCCCAACUAGGGAAUAACCUUGCGAAAGUAAGACUAAUACCCUAUAAUUUCCUCAGAUGUCAUCUGACGAGGAAUAAAGAUUUAUCGGUUGUGGAUGGGGAUGCGUCUGAUUAGCUUGUUGGCGGGGUAAAGGCCCACCAAGGCAACGAUCAGUAGGGGUUCUGAGAGGAAGGUCCCCCACAUUGGAACUGGGACACGGUCCAAACUCCUACGGGAGGCAGCAGUGAGGAAUAUUGGUCAAUGGGCGGAAGCCUGAACCAGCCAAGUAGCGUGCAGGAUGACGGCCCUAUGGGUUGUAAACUGCUUUUAUACAGGAAUAAAGUUAGCCACGUGUGGUUAUUUGUAGGUACUGUAUGAAUAAGGACCGGCUAAUUCCGUGCCAGCCGCCGCGGUAA